AAACCCCUGUGGACAUACCUUUAAUGUUGCCUCGGCGGAUCAGCCCGCGCCCCGUAAAACGGGACGGCCCGCCAGAGGACCCAAACUCUAAUGUUUCUUAUUGUAACUUCUGAGUAAAACAAACAAAUAAAUCAAAACUUUCAACAACGGAUCUCUUGGUUCUGGCAUCGAUGAAGAACGCAGCAAAAUGCGAUAAGUAAUGUGAAUUGCAGAAUUCAGUGAAUCAUCGAAUCUUUGAACGCACAUUGCGCCCGCUGGUAUUCCGGCGGGCAUGCCUGUUCGAGCGUCAUUUCAACCCUCAAGCCCCCGGGUUUGGUGUUGGGGACCGGCUCUGCCCUUCUGGGCGGUGCCGCCCCCGAAAUACAUUGGCGGUCUCGCUGCAGCCUCCAUUGCGUAGUAGCUAACACCUCGCAACUGGAACGCGGCGCGGCCAUGCCGUAAAACCCCAACUUCUGAAUGUUGACCUCGGAUCAGGUAGGAAUACCCGCUGAACUUAAGCAUAUCAAUAAGCGGAGGAA
RNAcentral lists this ribosomal RNA (518 nucleotides) under Fusarium sp. FL-2015. RNAcentral describes it as "eukaryotic LSU rRNA". The stretch from base 136 to 289 matches the Rfam family "5.8S ribosomal RNA". Lineage: Eukaryota; Fungi; Ascomycota; Sordariomycetes; Hypocreales; Nectriaceae. The record is from RNAcentral.